CUGAUUAUAUUAAAGAGCCGCAGUAUUCUGACUGUGCGAAGGUAGCAUAAUAAAUUGUCUUUUAAAUGGAGGCUUGAAUGAAAGGUUGGACAAAGUAUCAUCUGUUUCUUAAAUAUUUAUUGAAUUUGACUUUCAAGUGAAAAGGCUUGAAUAAAUUAAAAAGACGAUAAGACCCUAUAAAUCUUUACAAUAAACAUGUUCUAUAUUUUAAUUUAUAAAUAUAUAAAAUAUUAAAUUUGUAUUUGUUUCGCUGGGGCGGCGUGGAUAUAUUAAUAAACUGUCUGUGUGUUAAAUCCAAUAAUUAUUGAUUAGUGAGAUUGAUCCUUAAAUAGAUUAAAAGAUUAAGAUACUUUAGGGAUAACAGCGUUAUUUUUUUUGAGAGUUCUUAUCGAAGAAAAAGUUUGCGACCUCGAUGUUGAAUUAAAGUAUCUUUAUGGUGCAGCCGCUAUAAGAGAGAGUCUGUUCGACUUUUAAUGCUUUACAUGAUCUGA
This 491-nucleotide ribosomal RNA is filed under the name Pagurus bernhardus (common hermit crab). RNAcentral's name for it is "partial 16S ribosomal RNA". It matches the Rfam family "Bacterial large subunit ribosomal RNA", at positions 1912 to 2608 of the family's 2925-position model. Lineage: Eukaryota; Metazoa; Arthropoda; Malacostraca; Decapoda; Paguridae. The record is from RNAcentral.